Non-coding RNA from Pelobates cultripes (western spadefoot toad), 267 nucleotides. Lineage: Eukaryota; Metazoa; Chordata; Amphibia; Anura; Pelobatidae. The record is from the annotation of a GenBank genome assembly.
CUCAGACAUGAGAUAAUCAUUGUGAACAACAUAGUGACAUGCACGUCAUCUAACAGAUCAAAGACGUAUACUAGUUGGGCUCUUGGGUCCUAUACACCUUUGUGUGGAUGGGGUUUUCCCUCUCUCGUACGGUUGUUGUGGCUAUGGUAUAUCACCCAGUGUGACAAAGGUGGUUGGUGUCUUGUGUCUAGGCAGGUGGUGUGUGUUGACCGACCGUAUGGGGGGGGAAACCGGGUGUUGUGUGUGCUUUGCGCGUUCAGUUCUCAG